This is a long non-coding RNA of Neofelis nebulosa (Clouded leopard), 2524 nucleotides long. RefSeq lists it as uncharacterized. Lineage: Eukaryota; Metazoa; Chordata; Mammalia; Carnivora; Felidae. The record is from RefSeq and is a predicted model, not a curated record. The transcript is spliced from 3 exons.
GCGCCGCGCUUUGCAAACCCUGAAAGUGCCCGCGGCCGCGCCUGCCGGGCUCCCGGGGGUAUGCACCCCUCCCUCCGGGUCAGUGCGAGACCCCCUGGACCAGGCGCGUCCUGAAACCCCGGCGCGCUCGCCCCCGCCUUAGGGAGGGGAAACCGUGUCAGAGCUCGGUUGCAGCUUGGUGAAGGAUGGCGCGGGUUCGCGGCUGCGGCGGGCGGGAAGGAACACAAAAAGCCCCUUUCUUUCCGCCUUCUCUCCCUCCGCCAGCUCCUGCGAAAUCCACACUGUAGAGUGGAUGCUGGGGGGGCUCGGAAGGUGCGGAAGAGAUGAGAGAUAAGGGUGUGUGGAACAAGGCACCUUAUGUGGGACGAGGUGGCCGAGUGGUUAAGGCGAUGGACUGCUAAUCCAUUGUGCUUUGCACGCGUGGGUUCGAAUCCCAUCCUCGUCGGUCGCGUUUUACACGGCGUGAGGGGUGUACUUUUCUGCUUUCCUGUAGGAAAGGGGCCAGAGGUUCAGCGGCACCCAGAAGACCCGAAUUGGAAUUCUGGCUGAUGCCAGAGUUGUGACCACUAUGUCAUCUGCAGUAAUUAGAGAGGCCCCUCGGGAGGUGCCACCCUAGUGUCCAAAGUAGUGGAAUUUGGAAAUGACCUAUCUCAGCACUUGCCACCUAGAGCUCCCUACAAGCGUUUGCUGAUGGCAGCUGGCUGCUUCUGAGGGAAUCUGGGCCUGCUGGCAGAGCUGUGUCAGGCUGGGGAGGUGGCAGUGCCCGGAGGACUGGAAUCAGGAGAGGAAGGAGCAGGUGCAGCCCAUCAGUCCCAGUAUUUGUUUCCAGCAUUGGAAGCCAGCUACAUACUGAUCUAAUGGGCAAGUUGGGCUGGGUCUGCCGGGAAGGAGGAUGGGAAGGUUGUGACAUCAUAAGGACCUCUGAGGGCCCCCAAAUGGACACCAGCCCGGGAAGGAGAGCAGCACCCACUUCCAAGUGGCACUUCCAGACCGAGGGGCACCAGCCCAGCAGAGCCUUGGGCCCGGCUCGCCAUUCCCCCUGCACGGGGGUCUCAGCUCCGAAGGGGUAGCGAAGAGAGAGCCGUGGGCGAGCCCGGAACGGAGCAUUCAGAGCAACGCCUUGAAGAGGAAGGAGAGGGCAGCUCCACAGGAGAGCCCCAGGGCCAGGAAGAAGGUCAUGAGGGUGCCGGCCACCUCCCUCUCAUGUGGCAGCACCUGCCUAGAACACACGGGAGUAGGCUCUUAGAAAACAUCGGGCCAAUCCUGGACCCAGCCCCAGUGCCCUGUGCCCCCCUUACGACAGGACACCUCACUUCAGUUUCCCGAUCUGUAAAACGAGGCCACUGACGGGGACAUCUCUCAUGCCCUGCAAGUGCAAUAUUACAGGACUCUAGACUCCACUGCCUUCCCUCUUGACAAAACGUCCCCAGCCUGGUUGUCCCCGUCACCUUUCCUCUCUCUGGAUUCUCAGCUCCGUUGUCCCUAGCGUAAAUAGUCCGUGAACCCUCCACUUUUGAUCAACACCUUCGCUCCCCUUCAACUGAGAAUUUGGGGGGAGUAGCUGGGCCCUAAGGAAUGAUAGUUCAACCCAUUUGUUUCACAAGUGAGGAAACAGGCCCAGAGAGGAGGUCCUAGAACCAGUGUCUGGGCUACUUUAUUGGCAGGAACCUCGGGCUGGGGCUUCCUCUCCCUUCCUGCCCCGGGGCCGGCUCGGCAGGGAAGGUCUGACCUGACAGGGUGGCUGGCACCUAGAGACAGCCAGGGCUGGGCUGGCGGGAAGCAGAGUGGACCCUCUCCUGCAGGCCGUCCCCCUCAAGAAGAGCUAGGCCACCUCCCCACGCCCAGGCCCACCCUCCCGACCCCCAGACCUGGGCGCCAGGCACAUGGUAAGGGACAUCAGGUAACCGUUGGACACCGCGAAGAGCAGCAUGAAAGUGAUGAAGUAGGCAUCCUGCGGGAAGAGGACGGGCAGGCGGGACCUCUCGGGCACGUGGCACAGCAUGAAGAGAGGCACGAAUAGGACGCGCAGGCAGACGAGCAGGGGCAGCAGCCGGCUGUCCUCAUCCGGCUGUGGCAGAAGCCGGGGUGAGGGAGGUGCCCGGAGCCCACCCCGGACAGACUGUCACUUCCCCUGACCUGUGACUCUACAUGAGCCGGUGAGGACCCGGCCCUCAGGCCUCCGGAGAGUGAGGGGCUGGGCCAAGGCCACCCAGCCAUCAGGGACCGGCCUGGGGCUCGCCUCUGCCCUUCCGAGCUCCAGCUUGGGCUCUCUCCGUGGCAGAACUGGAAGAGACCUUAGACACCAUCUUUGGUUUUCAAGCUGGGUUCCUCCAAGUACCCUUGGGGGUUCCGCAGACCCCUUCGGGGCACAUGGGGUUGCUGAAUGGGAUUGGAAGCCGGGGAUCCAGGCCCCAUCCUAGCUUGGAUCAGAGCAACUCCUCUUCAAUCUCCUUUAUUUAUUGUAUCUCCUUGGAAGAUUUCAUUUAAAGAAGGAGCACCUUGGCUAAAAGCAGUCCAAACACUA